RNAcentral lists this non-coding RNA (19 nucleotides) under Arabidopsis thaliana (thale cress). Lineage: Eukaryota; Viridiplantae; Streptophyta; Magnoliopsida; Brassicales; Brassicaceae. The record is from RNAcentral.
UGAGUUAUAGCGUCUCACU